GACGAACGCUGGCGGCGUGCUUAACACAUGCAAGUCGAACGGAAAGGCCCUGCUUUUGUGGGGUGCUCGAGUGGCGAACGGGUGAGUAACACGUGAGUAACCUGCCCUUGACUUUGGGAUAACUUCAGGAAACUGGGGCUAAUACCGGAUAGGAGCUCCUGCUGCAUGGUGGGGGUUGGAAAGUUUCGGCGGUUGGGGAUGGACUCGCGGCUUAUCAGCUUGUUGGUGGGGUAGUGGCUUACCAAGGCUUUGACGGGUAGCCGGCCUGAGAGGGUGACCGGACACAUUGGGACUGAGAUACGGACCAGACGCCUACGGGAGGCAGCAGUGGGGAAUAUUGCACAAUGGGCGGAAGCCUGAUGCAGCAACGCCGCGUGCGGGAUGACGGCCUUCGGGUUGUAAACCGCUUUCGCCUGUGACGAAGCGUGAGUGACGGUAAUGGGUAAAGAAGCACCGGCUAACUACGUG
Molecule: ribosomal RNA, 468 nt
Filed under: uncultured bacterium
Lineage: Bacteria
Description: partial 16S ribosomal RNA
Rfam family: Bacterial small subunit ribosomal RNA
Source: RNAcentral